CCUACGGGGUGCAGCAGUGGGGAAUAUUGCACAAUGGGGGAAACCCUGAUGCAGCAACGCCGCGUGGGUGAAGGAGCGUUUCGGCGCGUAAAGCCCUGUCAGCGGGGAAGAAGAAAGACGGUACCCGACCAAGAAGCCCCUGCUAACUACGUGCCAGCAGCCGCGGUAAUACGUAGGGGGCGAGAGGUAUCUGGAAUUACUGGGGGUAAAGGGACGGUAGACGGCGAGGUAAGCCUGAAGUGGAAUCCAGCGGCCCAACCGCGGAACUGCUUUGGGAACUGUUUGGCUGGAGUAUGGGAGGGGUAAGCGGAAGUCCUGGUGUAGCGGUGAAAUGCGUAGAUAUCAGGAGGAACACCGGUGGCGAAGGCGGCUUACUGGACCAUAACUGACGUUGAGGCUCGAAAGCGUGGGGAGCGAACAGGAUUAGAUACCCGUGUAGUC
This 441-nucleotide ribosomal RNA is filed under the name uncultured bacterium. Its description in RNAcentral is "partial 16S ribosomal RNA". It matches the Rfam family "Bacterial small subunit ribosomal RNA", at positions 338 to 795 of the family's 1533-position model. The record is from RNAcentral.